AUGAACGCUGGCGGCGUGCCUAAUACAUGCAAGUCGAGCGAACAGACGAGGAGCUUGCUCCUCUGACGUUAGCGGCGGACGGGUGAGUAACCCGUGGAUAACCUACCUAUAAGACUGGGAUAACUUCGGGAAACCGGAGCUAAUACCGGAUAAUAUAUUGAACCGCCUGGUUCAAUAGUGAAAGACGGUUUUGCUGUCACUUAUAGAUGGAUCCGCGCCGCAUUAGCUAGUUGGUAAGGUAACGGCUUACCAAGGCAACGAUGCGUAGCCGACCUGAGAGGGUGAUCGGCCACACUGGAACUGAGACACGGUCCAGACUCCUACGGGAGGCAGCAGUAGGGAAUCUUCCGCAAUGGGCGAAAGCCUGACGGAGCAACGCCGCGUGAGUGAUGAAGGUCUUCGGAUCGUAAAACUCUGUUAUUAGGGAAGAACAAAUGUGUAAGUAACUAUGCACGUCUUGACGGUACCUAAUCAGAAAGCCACGGCUAACUACGUG
This 496-nucleotide ribosomal RNA is filed under the name uncultured bacterium. RNAcentral's name for it is "partial 16S ribosomal RNA". It matches the Rfam family "Bacterial small subunit ribosomal RNA", at positions 29 to 507 of the family's 1533-position model. The record is from RNAcentral.